This 433-nucleotide ribosomal RNA is filed under the name uncultured bacterium. RNAcentral's name for it is "partial 16S ribosomal RNA". It matches the Rfam family "Bacterial small subunit ribosomal RNA", at positions 29 to 507 of the family's 1533-position model. The record is from RNAcentral.
AACGAACGCUGGCGGCAUGCCUAACACAUGCAAGUCGAACGAGACCUUCGGGUCUAGUGGCGCACGGGUGCGUAACGUGUGGGAACCUGCCCUUAGGUUCGGAAUAACUCCCCGAAAGGGGUGCUAAUACCGGAUAAUGUCUUCGGACCAAAGAUUUAUCGCCUUUAGAUGGGCCCGCGUUGGAUUAGCUAGUUGGUAGGGUAAAAGCCUACCAAGGCGACGAUCCAUAGCUGGUCUGAGAGGAUGAUCAGCCACACUGGGACUGAGACACGGCCCAGACUCCUACGGGAGGCAGCAGUGGGGAAUAUUGGACAAUGGGCGAAAGCCUGAUCCAGCAAUGCCGCGUGAGUGAUGAAGGCCUUAGGGUUGUAAAGCUCUUUUACCCGGGAUGAUAAUGACAGUACCGGGAGAAUAAGCUCCGGCUAACUCCGUG